AGGAUUAACGCUGGCGGCGUGCCUGACACAUGCAAGUCGAACGAGGCCGCAAGGCCGAGUGGCGGACGGGUGAGUAACACGUGACCAACCAACCUCGAAGUUGGGAAUAGCUCUGCGAAAGUAGGGGUAAUACCGAAUGUGGCCCAGGGCGGGCAUCCGCCUUGGUCUAAAGAUUCAUCGCUUCGAGACGGGGUCGCGGCCUAUUAGCUUGUUGGUGAGGUAACGGCUCACCAAGGCGAUGAUGGGUAGCUGGUCUGAGAGGACGACCAGCCACACUGGGACUGAGACACGGCCCAGACUCCUACGGGAGGCAGCAGUGAGGAAUCUUCCGCAAUGGGCGAAAGCCUGACGGAGCAACGCCGCGUGUGGGAUGAAGACUCUAGGGUUGUAAACCACUGUCGGAGGGGACGAUCGUGACGGUACCCUCAAGAAAGCCCCGGCUAACUACGUGCCAGCAGCCGC
This 462-nucleotide ribosomal RNA is filed under the name uncultured bacterium. RNAcentral describes it as "SSU rRNA". It matches the Rfam family "Bacterial small subunit ribosomal RNA", at positions 26 to 518 of the family's 1533-position model. The record is from RNAcentral.